RNAcentral lists this ribosomal RNA (483 nucleotides) under uncultured bacterium. RNAcentral's name for it is "partial 16S ribosomal RNA". It matches the Rfam family "Bacterial small subunit ribosomal RNA", at positions 30 to 507 of the family's 1533-position model. The record is from RNAcentral.
AUUGAACGCUGGCGGCAGGCCUAACACAUGCAAGUCGAGCGGAUGAAGGGAGCUUGCUCCUGGAUUCAGCGGCGGACGGGUGAGUAAUGCCUAGGAAUCUGCCUGGUAGUGGGGGAUAACGUCCGGAAACGGGCGCUAAUACCGCAUACGUCCUGAGGGAGAAAGUGGGGGAUCUUCGGACCUCACGCUAUCAGAUGAGCCUAGGUCGGAUUAGCUAGUUGGUGGGGUAAAGGCCUACCAAGGCGACGAUCCGUAACUGGUCUGAGAGGAUGAUCAGUCAAACUGGAACUAGGCAACGGUCCGGACUCCUACGGAGGCAGCAGUGGGGAAUAUUGGACAAUGGGCGAAAGCCUGAUCCAGCCAUGCCGCGUGUGUGAAGAAGGUCUUCGGAUCGUAAAGCACUUUAAGUUGGGAGGAAGGGCAGUAAGUUAAUACCUUGCUGUUUUGACGUUACCAACAGAAUAAGCACCGGCUAACUUCGUG